GAUCGCAUAGCACCUUCGGUGUUUCCACGUGGCACAGCCCGCGCCCCUCCUUUUCCGCGGGGUGGCUCCGAGGGCAACACUGAGAGAGUGUAAUAUCUGGGUGAGAACUGCGAGUAACGGUUUGCCCGACCCAGAGGUGUCCUCCUCCGGUGCUGGCACUCCCCACCCCCAGCCGGAGGCGAUAGAAAAUGACGUAGGCGCUCUAACCCACGCUCGGAAAGGGUAGACUGAGCCAACGGAGGACCACAUUGUCUAUGAUGUCCCAGGGGACGAGACAGCUGGGAGCCGUGACAGCCAUCCAGCCGGCGCUGAUAGGAAAGACUGUAAAAUGCUGUUCAAGAUCCACGGGUAUGAUUGCACCCCUCACGAAUUGGUCACUGGUUUGAGGAACACUACCUGUCCUAACGGAAUCUUCAAGGCACCCUAGAACUCCUGCUCUCCGUCUCUGGGCCUGAACUUGAAAUGUAAACUCUACAGAGCAAGAAUGGUAAAUGUGCUGUUAAUAAUGUACAUGCAGCUCCUCGAUCAUAGUGCUGAACAUACAGCAAGUACUUCUUGCAUAUCUGCUGAAUAAAUAACAAACCCAACAAAUUGAAACCAUCAAGACCUGCUGAUUUUUAUCUCUUCAAAUCUAGGCCACUUUCUCUAUCUCUUCCUUUCAUCUUUGAUCUGACCCUAUCAGCUUCCAACUGGACACAAUGUUUCCUAAAGGGUCAUUUGUCCUCAUUUCAGUCCAUUCUGCAGCCACCAGAGCCAUCCACCUGAAAUGGGACUCUGACACACUCAUGCCAGGCUGUUGCCUCUAUGUCUUUGGGCAUGUUCUUCCACAUGGAAGGCUUUUUUGUUUCACUGCUUCACCCAGAUAUAACUCCCUAAUUAUCCUUCAGGUCUCUGCCCAGGCAUAAUCUCCUGAAGGAGACUCUUCCCUGAGGCUGGCCCCAGGCUAUGUUAGCACCCCAACUCUGCCACUUAAUUCUGUGUGUGACCUUGGACUAGUUUCUUAACAACUGUGCUGCCAUAUCCCCAUCUGCAAAAUAAAGAUGCACGUAUUAGAGUUAC
This is a long non-coding RNA of Hyaena hyaena (striped hyena), 1059 nucleotides long. RefSeq lists it as uncharacterized. The transcript has 3 exons. The record is from RefSeq and is a predicted model, not a curated record. NCBI's taxonomy places the organism in Eukaryota, Metazoa, Chordata, Mammalia, Carnivora, Hyaenidae.